Pipra filicauda (Wire-tailed manakin) is the source of this 1485-nucleotide long non-coding RNA. RefSeq lists it as uncharacterized. The transcript has 2 exons. The record is from RefSeq and is a predicted model, not a curated record. Lineage: Eukaryota; Metazoa; Chordata; Aves; Passeriformes; Pipridae.
AUAGAAUGAAGUUGUUAAUCUCAUGUGAUAGCACAACUGGGCAAUAAUACUCUUUUUUAUAUAUAUAUUACCUGUAAAGUUAAUUAUAAUGCACUAAAGAAGGGCUUUUUGUACCAAAAACCUCAUGCUAGUCUAGAUGAAACUGAAGGUUUUUGGAAGACAGUUAAUAAACCAUCUUUUACUAGGAAAUGUGAAAAAUGACACAUGAAGACACUGACAGCAGCAUCUUAGUGGACCUCUCCUCACUCAUGUAACACCAAUAUUAGCAACUGAGCCAAAUGCAAAGUAUUCAGUGACAACUGAAACCACACAGCUGAUCCUACUAAGACACAUGGGGCAUUCUGCAGUGCAUAGCAUGCACCCCAAUCCUCCCCAGCACAGGUUCCCCAUACCUGUCUCAAAUAUUGUAUUUUAAACUCCAUAACCAGCAUAUGUGGAACUUGAAUAACUGAAGUACCUAAUGCUUUGACAGGAGGAGGUCUGAUGGGUGUCCAAAUAAGUUCAGCUGAAUGACCUUUUGAUACCUGUGUUUCUUUCAGAAGCAGUGAACUCGCAUCAACUCUGGACAAUUGAACUGCCAACUCCUUUUGACUCCUACAGAUAACCAGUGCUAGUCUAGCGAGCAUUAAAAGAGAUCUAACCUGCUUCCAUGGUCAGCUCACAACUGUGAACACCAGAUGAGGCACCAACAGCUGAGAACAUUUUUCGUCUUGAGAUCUACCCAAGUGCAAACAGUGGAUUAUACAACUAAACCACUGACGAGACAGGCACGUGGUGCCUCGGUCUGCCCUACCUGUGCAAGUAUUUCAUCCAGCCACAUGGCGUGAUGCUGUGGAUUGGCCAGCAGCCACUUGAUAGCAGCAUUGUAAACUUGCUUUUCAUUUUCAAUAUUUAGGUCACUGGAGGACAGCAGUUUAUGGAGGUGCUGUGGUGACACGCUCACGAAGUCCUCGCACUCCAUGACCUCCGCGAAAUGCUCACAAGCGAACUGAUCGGCCAUGUCCAUCAAGUCAAUGCGGUUGUGGCUCUCGGCAAACGCCCUGACUGCCAGGCAGUUGGAGGGGUGGAAGUGCAGCUUCAUGUAUUCACAGCAGGCCUUUGCCACCAGUUCCACCUGCAGAAUGCAGGCAGCGUACAAGAGGGGCUGGACGUUGUCCACCGUCAGCGUGAGCCGCGAGGAGUACGCGAACUUCACCAGGUCUUCUAUCGCGUCGCCGUCGAAGUCCCUGAUCUCGAUCAACUUCUGCUUGGCCUCAGCCAUUUCUGAAAGAAACAUGGCUCUGAAGUAAGGGAUGACACAAGCUAGAACCAGCUUGUGGCAGGAGAUAAGCUUUGAACCGACCUGAAAGAAAAAAAAGAACAAAAAAACCCUCCAUUUUACUGUAAUGUCAGUUUUGGCUGUGAAAAAGAUGAACGGUUAAGCUGAAAUAAGAAUUCUGGACUCGAUGUGCAUUAAAGCUACUGUAUUUCGUUGAAACAAAUUAA